Molecule: ribosomal RNA, 496 nt
Filed under: uncultured bacterium
Lineage: Bacteria
Description: partial 16S ribosomal RNA
Rfam family: Bacterial small subunit ribosomal RNA
Source: RNAcentral
GAUGAACGCUGGCGGCGUGCCUAAUACAUGCAAGUCGAGCGAACAGAUAAGGAGCUUGCUCCUUUGAAGUUAGCGGCGGACGGGUGAGUAACACGUGGGUAACCUACCUAUAAGACUGGGAUAACUUCGGGAAACCGGAGCUAAUACCGGAUAACAUUUAGAACCGCAUGGUUCUAAAGUGAAAGAUGGUUUUGCUAUCACUUAUAGAUGGACCCGCGCCGUAUUAGCUAGUUGGUAAGGUAACGGCUUACCAAGGCGACGAUACGUAGCCGACCUGAGGGGGUGAUCGGCCACACUGGAACUGAGACACGGUCCAGACUCCUACGGGAGGCAGCAGUAGGGAAUCUUCCGCAAUGGGCGAAAGCCUGACGGAGCAACGCCGCGUGAGUGAUGAAGGGUUUCGGCUCGUAAAACUCUGUUAUUAGGGAAGAACAAAUGUGUGAGUAACUGUGCACAUCUUGACGGUACCUAAUCAGAAAGCCACGGCUAACUACGU